Coturnix japonica (Japanese quail) is the source of this 1864-nucleotide long non-coding RNA. RefSeq lists it as uncharacterized. The record is from RefSeq and is a predicted model, not a curated record. Lineage: Eukaryota; Metazoa; Chordata; Aves; Galliformes; Phasianidae.
UACAGGAUAACAUUCAGCUUUGAGCUUUGAGCUCGUCCAGUUUUUCCCUGUUUGCACAAAAGUGGCUCUGUGAAUGAGACAGAGACGUCUAUCUUCUUUGCUAGCAUUUUAACCAGGGCAGCCUGUACUGAAGACUUAUACCGGGAAGCAGAGAUAUGUGGAAACUGGUGCUGGAAGGAUUUUAAACACCUCCAUAAACACAUCAAAUGAAAAAGAUGUCAAAAUAACUUGUACACAGUGGACUGCUGGAAAGAUGGAUGACCCAAGACAACCACAUCUGUUCAGGCUUCCUACCUUGAUGGGAGAUGAACUGAGUGAAUUAAUAGGCUGCUUUCCAUUUGUGACUUCUGAUUCCAUGAAUAACAUUUUUCUGUGAUGGAAAAAUAGAACAUCAAAAGAUGCCUAUGCAGCAAGCAAGAGGACAGAUCAGCGUAUCUGGUGGCAUCAUUACAUGAAGUACAGUAUGAAGAAAUUACUUGCAAAAUGUACGAGUUAAACUGAACAGAAAGGAUACGACCAACCUGACCCCAGCAAAAGCAUUAUCUUUGCUUUAAAGACAAACAAAGUUACAGGCUGGGGAUUGGUCUUAACUAUAGUCCACACACACCUUAACCUAUUAACAUAUUAUGGCUGUUUUACUCAGUCCAAUGGCCUGUCCCUGGGUCAGCAGAUUUUGAUCUCAUCAUAGUUUAAAAAGACUACUGUGUAGUGUCAAUGCAGAUGAAAAGUUAUCAAACUCUAUUAGCCUCCUAAUGCCUCACAGCUCCCACGUGUGUCCUACAGGACAGACAAUUCUCUUUUCAGUAUUAGCACAAAUGAAUUUCUAAUGUAUGUCAUCUUAUUGCAGCAAUAAAAAUGAUGAGGUGUCAGAAAAAGGUCUUAGAGCUGUAAGUGAACUACUGACACUAGUUUGGACUUUGUAGUUCAACUAUUAUUUUACUGUGAUGCAGAUAUUCUGACUAGAUUACCUUAAAUGUAGGCUAACAUAAGCCAAAUUGGCAGUGAGAGCACAACCUCAAAGAAAUAUUUUAAGAAGUGGGAAGCAUUCCCUAUGGGCUGAGCCUAAUUUGCUUCUGAUUUUCAUAUUAACCAAAGAAAAAAGAGAAAUCAGUUAUUAGCCUGCUCUGCAAUAAGUAAUUCAGCUCAAACCACUGGCUAUAAGGGAACAGAGCCAAGACCAGUCCAGUGCACGUGAUAAAUCAGGUUUGGGCAUCAAAGAAGAGAUUGAAGGAUACACCAAUUUGAUCUCCCAUCAGUGCACAGUGUCACUUGCAUUGUUAUCUAAACAGCCACUGAGGGAACCUGGUGGCCUGGAGUAAUGACCCUGACUGUACAGUCUAGACCUCUGGUAUGUCAUUCCUCUUUAGCAGCUGGAGAGCCCAAAGAAUUCAUCCUUAGUUUGUGCACCACUGCAGUUCACAGCUGUCAGACAAGAGCUGCAGAACAGGAUAUCUAGGGUUUGGGCAUCUGUUCUCCAUUCUUCAAGUGUGCCGGUCUUUGGAGCACAUGGCUUUGUAACUGGUUAGAGUGCUUGAGAUCCAGAUCAGAAACCAUCAGUGGUGGUAGUAGAUAAGUAUUACAUUGGAAACUCGGAAAUGUUAAACCUAGGCUGUAUCUGAUAGAGCAUCAAAGUAAAAGUGUGAAAAUGUUGCCUCUCGCUCCCCUGUUCAUGCAUGUGGUUUUAUGAAUCUAAGCCCAAACCCACAAAGGCCAGAAGCCCUUGGAAAAAAUGAAGAGUGGUUUCUGUUGGUCCAAAGAACACUUAGCUAGAAAUCCAGUGUUAAUAUUUAUAUUUCUCAGAAUCUCUCAAUGUGCUUCAUUCACUGGAAUAAAAGUUGUAUAUUUUUAUAAAAAAAAUCAAUAA